Non-coding RNA from Acanthosepion pharaonis, 113 nucleotides. The record is from the annotation of a GenBank genome assembly. NCBI's taxonomy places the organism in Eukaryota, Metazoa, Mollusca, Cephalopoda, Sepiida, Sepiidae.
UUACGAUUAUAUCACGUAGAAUCACCGGUUCUCGUAUGAUCACCGAAGUUAAGAAACGUCGAGCCUCCUCAGUACCUAGAUGGGUGACCGCUUGGGAAUACCAGACGCUGUAA